This 442-nucleotide ribosomal RNA is filed under the name uncultured bacterium. RNAcentral describes it as "partial 16S ribosomal RNA". It matches the Rfam family "Bacterial small subunit ribosomal RNA", at positions 338 to 795 of the family's 1533-position model. The record is from RNAcentral.
CCUACGGGUGGCAGCAGUGGGGAAUAUUGGGCAAUGGGCGAAAGCCUGACCCAGCAACGCCGCGUGAAGGAAGCAGGCUUUCGGGUUGUAAACUUCUUUUGACAGGGCAGAGCAGAAGACGGUACCUGUCGAAUAAGCCACGGCUAACUACGUGACAGCAGCCGCGGUAACACGUAGGUGGCAAGCGUUGUCCGGAUUUACUGGGUGUAAAGGGCGUGUAGCCGGGCUGACAAGUCAGAUGUGAAAUGCGGGGGCUCAACCCGCGAACUGCAUUUGAAACUGUUGGUCUUGAGUAUCGGAGAGGCAGGCGGAAUUCCUAGUGUAGCGGUGAAAUGCGUAGAUAUUAGGAGGAACACCAGUGGCGAAGGCGGUCUGCUGGGCGACAACUGACGGUGAGGCGCGAAAGCGUGGGGAGCAAACGGGAUUAGAUACCCGAGUAGUC